GCCGGGAUGGUCUAAUCGGUUAAGGCGUCGCCCCGGACAGGCGAAGGUUGCGGGUUCAAUCCCCACUUCUGGCC
Molecule: transfer RNA, 74 nt
Filed under: Ixodes scapularis (black-legged tick)
Lineage: Eukaryota; Metazoa; Arthropoda; Arachnida; Ixodida; Ixodidae
Description: tRNA-Ser for anticodon GGA
Rfam family: tRNA
About the family: Transfer RNA (tRNA) molecules are approximately 80 nucleotides in length. Their secondary structure includes four short double-helical elements and three loops (D, anti-codon, and T loops). Further hydrogen bonds mediate the characteristic L-shaped molecular structure. tRNAs have two regions of fundamental functional importance: the anti-codon, which is responsible for specific mRNA codon recognition, and the 3' end, to which the tRNAs corresponding amino acid is attached (by aminoacyl-tRNA synthetases). tRNAs cope with the degeneracy of the genetic code in two manners: having more than one tRNA (with a specific anti-codon) for a particular amino acid; and 'wobble' base-pairing, i.e. permitting non-standard base-pairing at the 3rd anti-codon position.
Source: RNAcentral